This 1242-nucleotide ribosomal RNA is filed under the name Triticum aestivum (bread wheat). RNAcentral's name for it is "partial small subunit ribosomal RNA". Lineage: Eukaryota; Viridiplantae; Streptophyta; Magnoliopsida; Poales; Poaceae. The record is from RNAcentral.
AUGGCGACCUCCAAGCCGCGCCGUUCCAGUCGUACGAGGAAAACGGCGAGGACUCUGACGGAGAUCCCCGACCACAUCAUCGCGGAGAUCUUCCUCCGGCUGCCCGCCGCGGAAGACCUAGCCCGUGCCUCCGCCGCCUGCGUCUCCUUCCGCCGUCUCGUCGCCGACAAAUCCUUCCUCCGCCGCUUCCGCCGCCUCCACGACCCGCCCCUCCUCGCCUUUUUCGACCGCAACGGGUUCCACCACCCCCUCCCGCCUCACCCCUCCGCGCCAGCCGCCAGCGCGCUCGCCGACGCCGCCGACCUCUCCUUCUCCUUCUUCCCCAACCACGGCCGGUGGUCCGUCCAGGACAUCCGCGAAGGACGCGUCCUCCUCCUCCGCCCUGGCGCCUGCAAGCAGCCCCAGAUCUGCAUGGAGGCCGCGGUGUGCGACCCCUUGCACCGGAAGUACGUCCUCCUUCCCCCAGUACCUGACGACCUGGCCGCUUCGAUGAUGCACCCGGCCACGGCACACGAACCCUGGUGCGAGGCUUUCCUUGUUCCCCUUGAUGAGGAGGCGGAGACGGCAUUCGGUGUGAUGUGGAUGGUACAUUUCACAACUAGGCUGGCAGCGUUCGUCUACUCCUCGACCACUGGACAGUGGCAAGCUGUUGCAUCCAAGGAAUGGAAUGAGUUGCUCCUUGGACAGGGCGAGUCGACCAUGGUGUCACCGAUCGACCGUGACUUUUAUGGGCGCUAUUACGCCUAUGGCUGCUUCUACUGGGAGUCCACCGUGAUGGGGAAGAAAGAUUUGCUCGUGUUUGACACCCGGAGAAUGGAGUUCUCUAGUUGUGACCUCCCACCAAAAGAAUUGUGUCCGCUAGAUCUGGCCAUUGUGGAGGCAGGGGAAGCCAGGCUUGGCUUGUUCGGUAUCCAUCUUGAAGCUGGAAAGUUUGAUCUCUGUUAUUACAUCAAGGGAAACAAAUGUGAGAGUUCUAGCCAGUGGCAGCUGGAGAAGACAAUCCCAAUAUGUUCGGGCUGCCGGCCUGAUAUCAAAGCUGCAACCGGGAGGUACUUGCUCCUAGGAAAGUUUGGACCCAUGCGGUUCGUAAACUCAACUCCACACCAAGAUUUGGAAUAUAUCUCGGUUGAUGUCAAGACAUUGCAGCUUGCGAGGGUUUGUACCAAAUCUUCUGGGUUUGCCUUUUCCAAGACGUCGAUAUAUACCAACUUCCCGCCAUCGUUGUCUUCACCAAAAAUAUGA